This 447-nucleotide ribosomal RNA is filed under the name uncultured bacterium. RNAcentral describes it as "bacterial SSU rRNA". It matches the Rfam family "Bacterial small subunit ribosomal RNA", at positions 355 to 825 of the family's 1533-position model. The record is from RNAcentral.
UGGGGAAUAUUGGACAAUGGGCGCAAGCCUGAUCCAGCCAUGCCGCGUGAGUGACGAAGGUCUUCGGAUUGUAAAACUCUUUUGGCGGGGACGAUAAUGACGGUACCCGCAGAAUAAGCCCCGGCUAACUUCGUGCCAGCAGCCGCGGUAAUACGAAGGGGACUAGCGUUGUUCGGAAUCACUGGGCGUAAAGCGCACGUAGGCGGAUGUGCCAGUCAGGGGUGAAAUCCCGGAGCUCAACUCCGGAACUGCCUCUGAUACUGCACGUCUUGAGUUCGAGAGAGGUGGGUGGAAUUCCUAGUGUAGAGGUGAAAUUCGUAGAUAUUAGGAAGAACACCGGUGGCGAAGGCGGCCCACUGGCUCGAUACUGACGCUGAGGUGCGAAAGCGUGGGGAGCAAACAGGAUUAGAUACCCGUGUAGUCCCUGAGCGGGCUGGCAAGGCGCAU